Molecule: ribosomal RNA, 253 nt
Filed under: uncultured bacterium
Lineage: Bacteria
Description: partial 16S ribosomal RNA
Rfam family: Bacterial small subunit ribosomal RNA
Source: RNAcentral
UACGUAGGGCGCAAGCGUUGUCCGGAAUUAUUGGGCGUAAAGAGCUCGUAGGCGGCCUGUUGCGUCCGCUGUGAAAUCCCGGGGCUCAACCCCGGGCCUGCAGUCGAUACGGGCAGACUAGAGUGCGGUAGGGGAGACUGGAAUUCCUGGUGUAGCGGUGGAAUGCGCAGAUAUCAGGAGGAACACCGGUGGCGAAGGCGGGUCUCUGGGCCGUAACUGACGCUGAGGAGCGAAAGCGUGGGGAGCGAACAGG